UAAUUUAUCUGGCAGGGGAGGUACCAUGACCACAAGGUGGUUUUCCCAGUAAGACUUGUUCAUUGCACUCCACAUGUGCUGAUCCCUGCAAUUUCCCCAAAUAUGGGAAACCUAACUGCAUAAUUUGUGAUAGUGGGGGACUGCAUUUGUACUCUCCCGUA
Small nuclear RNA from Sorex fumeus (smoky shrew), 161 nucleotides. RefSeq annotates it as U1 spliceosomal RNA. The transcript has a single exon. NCBI's taxonomy places the organism in Eukaryota, Metazoa, Chordata, Mammalia, Eulipotyphla, Soricidae. The record is from RefSeq and is a predicted model, not a curated record.